UUCCCCAAUUUCCCCUUUCAAUUUGCGCGCAUCUUCUCUUCUCCACUCACUACUGCAGUCCAUUAUUCUUCUCGGCGUCGUUCAUUCAUUCAAUCUUCUUCUUCCAUAGUCCACUCUUCUCCACCAUCUUCUCGUCCGAUUCCAGUCCGUGUUUUGAAGUUCACAAAUGUCAGUAAACCCAACCUAUUUUCAUGUUGUAACUGAUCUGGUCAUUCAAAUCUCACUUGUGUCCAAACAUUUUUUAUUAAUUUACUUUCUUCAGGCGGUCAAAGUGAGAAUCCAGAUGGUAAGAGAUUGGGGUUGUUGGAUUUUGAUAAUGGCUUAAGUAACCAGGACUCUAUGGUAGAUGACUUUCUGUUGCCUCAUGUAAUUUUGUGGAUGCCUUCCUCUUUUUUAUCAUUCUGUCUGACUUCUUGCCAUUUGUUUGUGUGUUUUUUGAUUUAUCUACUGUCCAUGCUUGUUCUUUUUCAAAUUAGAAAUGCAAGAAAUUUCACUUUCGUAGAAUGUUAGUAACGAUUGUUAAAGCCAAUGCUAAAUAGGAUUUGACUAGUUGGUACCCGAUAUUUUGAUGAUUAAAACCUAGCGUGCAUCAUUUUAAUUACUAAGAACUUAAUUUACUUGAAACAAGUGUAGGAAACACAAUUGUUGUGAGAACUCAUAAAUUUGGUAUUGGCGGUUGGUUCUAGAGUGAGCUUAUGCCUAGAAAGAACUACAACAGUAAUUUCUCCCCCGGUCCAAGUACAACAAAUCUUCUGGAACUGCCCUUAAGAGAUAAGAAAGAAAAAGACCUAAGGAAAAGCUGCAGGGCAUCCCUUCUGAUUGAAGCGACUGAUAAUAAUGGGGGGCCUGAAUUAUAUAAGCAUGAACCAAGGGUAAAAGACAAUGACAACUUGGGACCCUCUAUUGUUGACCAAGAGUUGGAAGUGUGUACAAGGGUGAGUGACGGAGGUGAAAGGGCAGAUGGAAGGCCUUUGAAGCAGCGACUGCUAGUGGUGGCCAAUAGGCUCCCGGUCUCUGCAGGCAGGACAGGUGAAGACUCUUGGUCUCUAGAGAUAAGUGCUAGGGGUCUGAUCAGUGCCCUUGGGUGCGAAGGAGUUGAGGCGAGAUGGAUAUGAUGGGCUGGAGUAAAUGUGCCAGAUGAGAUUGGACAGAAAGCACUUACUAAAGCAUUGGCUUAAAAGAGGUGUAUUCCUGUAUUCCUUGAUGAGGACAUUGUUCAUCAAUACUACAAUGGCUAUUGCAACAACAUCUUGUGGCCUCUUUUUCGUUACCUUGG
Pistacia vera is the source of this 1276-nucleotide long non-coding RNA. RefSeq lists it as uncharacterized. The transcript has 3 exons. The record is from RefSeq and is a predicted model, not a curated record. NCBI's taxonomy places the organism in Eukaryota, Viridiplantae, Streptophyta, Magnoliopsida, Sapindales, Anacardiaceae.